GUGCCAGCCGCCGCGGUAAGACGAACCGAGCGAACGUUGUUCGGAAUCACUGGGCUUAAAGGGCGCGUAGGCGGGUGCUCAAGUCCGGGGUGAAAUCCCACAGCUCAACUGUGGAACUGCCUCGGAUACUGGGUGCCUCGAGGGUGGUAGGGGUAUGCGGAACUAUCGGUGGAGCGGUGAAAUGCGUUGAUAUCGAUAGGAACUCCGGUGGCGAAGGCGGCAUACUGGACCACUUCUGACGCUGAGGCGCGAAAGCCAGGGGAGCAAACGGGAUUAGAAACCCUCGUAGUCC
This 292-nucleotide ribosomal RNA is filed under the name uncultured bacterium. Its description in RNAcentral is "partial 16S ribosomal RNA". It matches the Rfam family "Bacterial small subunit ribosomal RNA", at positions 505 to 796 of the family's 1533-position model. The record is from RNAcentral.